This 88-nucleotide transfer RNA is filed under the name Deltaproteobacteria bacterium. Its description in RNAcentral is "tRNA-Ser". It matches the Rfam family "tRNA". From Rfam's summary of the family: Transfer RNA (tRNA) molecules are approximately 80 nucleotides in length. Their secondary structure includes four short double-helical elements and three loops (D, anti-codon, and T loops). The record is from RNAcentral. Lineage: Bacteria; Pseudomonadati; Myxococcota; Myxococcia.
GGAGAGGUGGCCGAGUGGUCGAAGGCGGUUGAUUCGAAAUCAAUUGUACCUCACGGUACCGGGGGUUCGACUCCCUCCCUCUCCGCCA